UACGUAUGGGGCGAGCGUUGUCCGGAAUUAUUGGGCGUAAAGCGCACGCAGGCGGUCUGGAAAGCGGUGGGUGCAAUCUCGAGGCUCAACCUCGAAACUGCUCGCCGAACUACCAGACUUGAGCACGGGAGAGGACAGUGGAAUUCCCGGUGUAGCGGUGGAAUGCGUAAAUAUCGGGAGGAACACCAGUGGCGAAGGCUGCUGUCUGGAACGUUGCUGACGCUGAGGUGCGAAAGCCAGGGGAGCGAACGGGAUUAGAUACCCCCGGUAGU
Molecule: ribosomal RNA, 272 nt
Filed under: uncultured prokaryote
Description: partial 16S ribosomal RNA
Rfam family: Bacterial small subunit ribosomal RNA
Source: RNAcentral